RNAcentral lists this long non-coding RNA (301 nucleotides) under Numida meleagris (helmeted guineafowl). RNAcentral's name for it is "lncRNA (ENSNMEG00000015228.1)". Lineage: Eukaryota; Metazoa; Chordata; Aves; Galliformes; Numididae. The record is from RNAcentral.
UCAGGACUGGGACUGAGACAAGCUCAGCGGGGCUGGCGCUAACAGUGAUGAUCCCAAACCACUCUUCAAUAUCAUUCUCAGGAAACAACAUCUACAGGGCAGAAGUUAGCUUUUCAAGUGACUUCAUAAUCAACAUCUAACAGCCAUUACCAUCAAACCAUGUCAUCAAAGGCCUGGAGAACCAUCAGGUCUGGUACCAACCAUUCACAGCAUCUGCUGGUCUGCACUUGGGCUGUGAUCCACAGCAGCUGCAGGCAGAAAUUAAUGUGAAGACAAGAGGAAAAGAAAAAAAAGACAAGAG